RNAcentral lists this ribosomal RNA (432 nucleotides) under uncultured bacterium. RNAcentral describes it as "partial 16S ribosomal RNA". It matches the Rfam family "Bacterial small subunit ribosomal RNA", at positions 29 to 507 of the family's 1533-position model. The record is from RNAcentral.
AACGAACGCUGGCGGCAGGCCUAACACAUGCAAGUCGAGCGAGGACUUCGGUCCUAGCGGCGGACGGGUGAGUAACGCGUGGGAACGUGCCCUUUGCUUCGGAAUAGCCCUGGGAAACUGGGAGUAAUACCGGAUGAGCCCUUUGGGGGAAAGAUUUAUCGGCGAAGGAUCGGCCCGCGUUGGAUUAGGUAGUUGGUGGGGUAAUGGCCUACCAAGCCGACGAUCCAUAGCUGGUUUGAGAGGAUGAUCAGCCACACUGGGACUGAGACACGGCCCAGACUCCUACGGGAGGCAGCAGUGGGAAUCUUAGACAAUGGGGGAAACCCUGAUCUAGCCAUGCCGCGUGAGCGAUGAAGGCCUUAGGGUUGUAAAGCUCUUUCAGCUGGGAAGAUAAUGACGGUACCAGCAGAAGAAGCCCCGGCUAACUCCGUG